AUCUCGAGGUCGAUCAAAGGUCAAGUUCAAAUAUAAGCCAAUCAAAGACUUUUAACAUCUCGAGGUCCAACAAAGAUCGAGUUCAAAUAUAAACCAAUCAAAAGCUUUUAAUAUCUCGAGAUCGAUCACAGGUCGAGUUCAAAUAUAAGCCAAUCAAAAACUUUUAACAUCUCAAGAUCGAUCAAAGGCCGAGUGCAAAUAUAAGCCGAUCAAAGACUUUUAACAUCUCAAGGCCA
This 236-nucleotide long non-coding RNA is filed under the name Elaeis guineensis (African oil palm). RNAcentral describes it as "long non-coding RNA (EGUI_LNC019835)". The record is from RNAcentral. Lineage: Eukaryota; Viridiplantae; Streptophyta; Magnoliopsida; Arecales; Arecaceae.